RNAcentral lists this long non-coding RNA (1055 nucleotides) under Androctonus crassicauda. Lineage: Eukaryota; Metazoa; Arthropoda; Arachnida; Scorpiones; Buthidae. The record is from RNAcentral.
GCAGAGUAGGCACAGUGUUAUUUGGACCUACAUUGUUUUUCUUAGUAGACUUUAUUAAUCAAAAUAAUGGUUAUUUUUAAAUAUUUACUAUGAGAGAGAGAAUGAAUUACAAAAGCCACAGAAACUAACAAGAGAAUUAAUGCCAUGGAAACUACAAGAGAUAAUUAUAUGAUACCAUCAUUUGUUUUUCCACAUAAGUGUGCAGAUAUAAAGGGGAUUAUCUCCCAUACUGAGUACUUGGAAUCCUAUAUCAUAGAUCUUUUUCAGCUGCUGUUGCAGCCAUAGGAUGCAUGUCCUGUUCAAUCUCUACAUUGUCACUGAAAUGUCUGCCAAAUUUGUUUUUAGGAGACCAAACAGGUGGAAGUUACUGGGUGCAAGAUCCAGAUUGUAGGGUAGAUAUGCCAGCUCUUUCUAGCAAAGUCUUUUUCUCUCUUCUGUCAUCAGUUAGGCAUUGCAGUUUGACAAUAUUAUGAUGGAACAAGAUGUGCAGAACAGCAGGUUCAGACAUUUUCUGCAAAUUAGAGUUUGCCUAACACCUCACAGUAUGAAAUGGUAUUGACAUUGGCAUCCUUUGUUGGAAAUGAGCCAGCAGAAUCCCCUCUAUACCCCAAAAACAGUCAAUAUGACCUAAUUGACCAAAGGUGUCAUCUUGAACUUCUUGGCUACUAGCAAUUGUGGAUGUUUCCAAUGCAUGGAAGCUUGCUUGGAUUUAGGUUGGUUGUAAUGUAUGUGCAGUUUGUCACUGGUGGCAAUCCAGAUCAGCAUAUCUUAUUUUACUGCAGCAUAUUGAAGCAGAUUCUGCAAGACAUAACCCCCAUGCAUUCAGUUUUUGUUCCUUCGACAGUUGUUUUGGCAUCCAGCCUGCACACACUUUAUGGAACUUUAGACAGUUAGUCAAGAUGCUAUAGAUCAAACCAUGCAGCGGUGUACCCAGAAUCUUUGGUAUCUGGAACAGUAUUUUUUUAGUCCCCCUCCAAAAAAAGACCUGCUUUAACUUUCAACACACAUUUUAUUUUACACACAAUUUUUGAAAUAAUUUUUAAGAACUGAAAACU